RNAcentral lists this ribosomal RNA (265 nucleotides) under uncultured bacterium. RNAcentral's name for it is "partial 16S ribosomal RNA". It matches the Rfam family "Bacterial small subunit ribosomal RNA", at positions 793 to 1055 of the family's 1533-position model. The record is from RNAcentral.
GUCCACGCCCUAAACGAUGGCAACUAGUUGUUGGGGGAUGAACUCCCUUAGUAACGCAGCUAACGCGUGAAGUUGCCCGCCUGGGGAGUACGGUCGCAAGAUUAAAACUCAAAGGAAUUGACGGGGGCCCGCACAAGCGGUGGAUGAUGUGGUUUAAUUCGAUGCAACGCGAAAAACCUUACCUACCCUUGACAUGCCAGGAAGGCCGCAGAGAUGCGGCUGUGCCCGAAAGGGAAUCUGGACACAGGUGCUGCAUGGCUGUCGU